This 555-nucleotide ribosomal RNA is filed under the name Ascomycota sp. SL15. Its description in RNAcentral is "eukaryotic LSU rRNA". The stretch from base 172 to 325 matches the Rfam family "5.8S ribosomal RNA". The record is from RNAcentral. Lineage: Eukaryota; Fungi; Ascomycota.
GGCACUAAGUUAGCUCUCUGGGCUUUCCUCACUCCCUGUAUUGUUGCUUCGGUGGUUAGGGUCUCCCUGACCCUCCCGGCCUCCCGCCCCCGGGCGGGGCGGCCCCCCCCGGAGGAUAACCCAACUCUGAUUUUCUGACGUUUCUUCUGAGUGGUACAAGCUAAUAAUCAAAACUUUUAACAACGGAUAUCUUGGUUCUGGCGUCUAUGAAAAACGCACCGAAAUGCGAUAAGUAAUGUGAAUUGCGCAAAUCUCUGAAUCAUCUAAUCUUUGAACGCACAUUGUGCCCGCCCUGAUUCUGGCGGGGGUGCCUGUGCCAGAGCGACUUCGACCCUCAAGCUCUGCUUGGGGUUGGGGCCCUACACCUGAUGUACGCCCUCGAAGGUAGUGGCGGACCCUCCCGGAGCCUCCUUUGCUCAUUAACUUUACGUCUCGCACUGGGAUCCUGAGGGACUCUUGCCGGAAAACCCCCAAUUUUCCACAGGUUGACCUCCGAUCAGGUAUGAAAACCCGCUGAACUUAAGCAUAACCAUAGCGUAGGAAGAGGAAGAGGAA